UGGCAGUCGAGUAUCUUAGUCUUUUCAUUCGAAGUAAAGGAAGCGUUUGACAAUUUUAGGAUAAAAAGCUGUUAUAGAUAUAAUAAAUAUAGGAUAAAGUAAGUGAUAUUGCUGAAUAUAAGACUUAAUUUUAUUUGCAAUACUAUUGUAAAUAAUUGUAUCAAUUAAUAACAUGAUAAGGGCGGUUUAUUUUUUUUAAUUUCGCAAAAGACAAAUUCUCCAAAUUUUUUUCAUAGAAUGAUGCUAAAUAACAGAAUACCCUUGCGGUAUAGAAUAUCUGGGCAUAGGUGGUGUUACAAACGAUAAAUUGGAGCAAGGCCUGAUUCGGCAUCAAAAAUCCAGAAAUUAUCAAUGGGGAACUGCUUCUUGCUAAUUGAAUUCAAUGCAUCUUGUGAAACAACCCCGCCAACAACGGACAUAACCGGAGUCCAUUGAAAGCUGAUAUUGGAAGAAAAUUUUCUAAAUAAAAUUAGUAAAAAAGUGAUCAAGUAGUCAAAGUAAUUCCGUUUACUUACGAUAAAAAUUCUCCAUUUAGUACUGUUUUCUCGUUCAGCUUUUGCUCGAUGCAAACUUGUCGAAUCGAGUCAGGAUCUGAUUUUUUACUUUUUAAUAAAGCUAAAUUAACAAUUAGCAACUGUAAAAAUUUACCAACUUCAUCAUAUUUAACCUUAUUGAACUCAGUUAAUGACUUACAUAACAUCGCUGGAUAUAAUGUAGGAAUCUUUUUUGCUAACCUGGGUUUUAGUGUUUCGCCCAAUAUGCUUUGAAAGGCUUCCUUCAUGGGUUUUUGAACAAUAAACAUAUCCUCUUCUACUUUAGUAUUAUCAACGACUCGAUCACUAAAAAUGUAAGCAAAGGUGUUGAAAUUGAAGAUCACUUAGACAAGACUUACAUUGCAAAAUUGUGGUUAAUCAAAUCACAAAAAGCGAACCCAUAAAGACCAAAACAGCUAGUUGCGUAGAAACUGGCAUUACAAAUUCGGGUUAAUUCGUUUAUUCGGCAGAACUCUUCAUAAUCAAGUUGCGUCGCAAUAACCAUGCUGAACUUUGAGAUUUUUCCUUCGUCAAUUUCAGAUAUCAGAGACGUAUCUGUAUCAAUUUCUACUAAAGGGUUUAAUUCAUGUAACUUUUUCUUGAAGACAUUAGCGCGGAGCUGGCCAAUGUCUGAAGCUUCUAUAAAAAAUUGCUCCUCGACAUCCUUUUCAUAAACAGUCAUUGAAUCUAAUACACAAAGUUUUCCUAUUCCAGAUAAUACCAGGUUUUUCGCUAUUUCAUUCGCUAAUGGAGAAGCAGUUAUUAAUAGGACGCGGGAUUGCUUUAGUCUAUAAUUUUGUCAGAACCCAGCUAUCAUGCGUAAAUUCAGCCAACUUACGCUUGUUGAGCAUUAAAGCCCCAGAGCCUAAUCUGUCUAUCGUAUAAAGCUAUUUCUUCAGCAUUAAUAUUGUGAUUCCCCAUGUCCUCUUCUUAGGGGUUAGUGGACUGAAUACAGCUAUGUCUAUCGUGAAUCAGAUAUAAGUUGGGGUAAGGUAGUAAAUAUCGAAAAGGCAGAUUUAGCUAAUCGUCUAACAGUGUUUAAUAUGGAAAUUAAAUAACAAACGAGUUCAUUACUGAUACAUUAUAUAGAGACUUAUGGCCAAGUCAAGGAUGUUUGGUAGAGGCAUUAAUUCACACCAUAUUCUUGGUAAUUGAGAAGCGAAACAGCGUUUUCAAUGUUAUUCUACAUAAAAUAAACAGAUUAGAUUAAGUAACAAAUAAGCAAAUCUAUAGCAAUGUGGGAAAGGGAAUACUAGAAUCUGACUAAGAGUGCUGAAAUUCAUCAAGUGGGAAAAAAUAAAAUAAAUACCAGUGGUUCAUGGAUUUAAAAGCAAAACGUAUAACAUCACGCAAUCCAAUUCUAAUGUGCGGAAAAAAUUUUUGAAGAGUAAACCUUACUAACUGAAUGAAACAAAUAUUAGGAAUUUUUUCGGUAAACAAAUAGAUAAGGGACGUGAAAACAUAAAGAAAAUGUUAUUAUUCGGGACCAGUUUCGGCUUCCAAAAUUCGUACAGCUCGCUGACUUUCUUCUUCCUGUAAAGUGGCCUGCAAUUCCUCCCUCUUUCUUCUACUUUUUUCUUUGUGCAAAUAAAACAUGCAAAGCAUUAAUAACAAUCCUUGAAGGCAUGCGCUGACAAUAUACAUCAUGUACGUAGUCCAAUUAGUACCGGGCAACCUGGAUAGUAAAUAUCCGAUCAAAAAUCCACCCGGAGUUUGCAUCAUCAUCAUUGGGAUACUAAGGGCACCAUGGCUUUGAUGGCGUAUAGUUUUUAUGAUUUGAGGAACAUACUGAACGACCGCGCAGAAUGAAGCGCUAAAUCCAAGGAAUGCUGCCCAAGCAAAGUUCGAACUAAGGACGGUUGCGGAUAGACAGAUGAUAAACAAUCCCCAAGUAAAUACACCAAGUAGCCCAUAAGAUGCUUUUCGCCAUUUACGACUUUUCGUUACACUUAAAGGCUCAGGGAUUGGUAAACCAUUUUCGUCAUCUGCUGCAACAAAGUGAAUAGGUCGAGGGAGAAACAUCCAGAAAGCCAUAAGAACACAACCCAUAAUAAGUACCUGAGAACCCACUUGAAUUAAACCGGUUGUGUUAGCAAAGCAUUGCUUUUUGGAAUAGUAAUUUUGACAGCAUUCAGUUAAAGGGCUAAUUUGUAGAGCAAUGACAUUUGAGAACGCAUUAAGAACACCUAUGUAACCCAAAAUAAGGUAAGAAAAACUUAAGCCUUGCGAACUUCCGAGACGAACAAUGCGAAAGAUUUGUAACAGGUAAGAAAUGAUGAGGCCUAUGAUAAUAUACACUGAAAAGAUAAAGCUAGCU
Molecule: long non-coding RNA, 2850 nt
Filed under: Schizosaccharomyces pombe (fission yeast)
Lineage: Eukaryota; Fungi; Ascomycota; Schizosaccharomycetes; Schizosaccharomycetales; Schizosaccharomycetaceae
Source: RNAcentral